CUUUCUGUGUAGGUGGGGAUCGGUAGCAAUGCUGUGUUCCUCCAGGUAUUGCACUUGUCCCGGCCUGUGUGGAAACG
RNAcentral lists this microRNA precursor (77 nucleotides) under Oreochromis niloticus (Nile tilapia). RNAcentral's name for it is "mir-92 microRNA precursor family". It matches the Rfam family "mir-92 microRNA precursor family". From Rfam's summary of the family: This family represents the microRNA precursor mir-92. Human miR-92 has two predicted hairpin precursor sequences: mir-92-1 on chromosome 13 and mir-92-2 on chromosome X. miR-92 has also been cloned from mouse embryonic stem cells. The mature sequence is excised from the 3' arm of the hairpin. RNAcentral also lists the same sequence under 4 other names. Lineage: Eukaryota; Metazoa; Chordata; Actinopteri; Cichliformes; Cichlidae. The record is from Rfam by way of RNAcentral.